Molecule: ribosomal RNA, 497 nt
Filed under: uncultured bacterium
Lineage: Bacteria
Description: partial 16S ribosomal RNA
Rfam family: Bacterial small subunit ribosomal RNA
Source: RNAcentral
GAUGAACGCUGGCGGCGUGCCUAAUACAUGCAAGUCGAGCGAACGGACGAGAAGCUUGCUUCUCUGAUGUUAGCGUCGGACGGGUUAGUAACACGUGGAUAACCUACCUAUAAGACUGUGAUAACUUCGUUAAACCGGAGCUAAUACCGGAUAAUAUUUUGAACCGCAUGGUUCAAAAGUGAAAGACUGUCUUGCUGUCACUUAUUGAUGGAUCCGCGCUGCAUUAGCUAGUUGGUAAGGUAACGGCUUACCAAGGCAACGAUGCAUAGCCGACCUGAGAGGGUGAUCGGACACACUGGAACUGAGACACGGUCCAGACGCCUACGGGAGGCAGCAGUAGGAAAUCUUCGGCAAUGGGGGAAAGCCUGACGGAGCAACGCCGAGUGAGUGAUGAAGGUCUUCUAAUCGUAAAACUCUGUUAUUAGGGAAGAAAAGAUGUGUAAGUAACUGUGCACAUCAUGACGGUACAUAAUCAGAAAGCCACGGCUAACUAAGGG